This 116-nucleotide ribosomal RNA is filed under the name Salmonella enterica. RNAcentral also lists the same sequence under 2 other names. The record is from RNAcentral. Lineage: Bacteria; Pseudomonadati; Pseudomonadota; Gammaproteobacteria; Enterobacterales; Enterobacteriaceae.
CCUGGCGGCACUAGCGCGGUGGUCCCACCUGACCCCAUGCCGAACUCAGAAGUGAAACGCCGUAGCGCCGAUGGUAGUGUGGGGUCUCCCCAUGCGAGAGUAGGGAACUGCCUGGC